UGAGCUUGAUCCUGGCUCAGGAUGAACGCUAGCGGCAGGCUUAACACAUGCAAGUCGAGGGGUAUAUUUCUUCGGAGCUAGAGACCGGCGCACGGGUGCGUAACGCGUAUGCAAUCUACCUUUUACAGAGGGAUAGCCCAGAGAAAUUUGGAUUAAUACCUCAUAGUAUAUAGACUCGGCAUCGGGAUUAUAUUAAAGUCACAACGGUAAAAGAUGAGCAUGCGUCCCAUUAGCUAGUUGGUAAGGUAACGGCUUACCAAGGCUACGAUGGGUAGGGGUCCUGAGAGGGAGAUCCCCCACACUGGUACUGAGACACGGACCAGACUCCUACGGGAGGCAGCAGUGAGGAAUAUUGGACAAUGGGCGCAAGCCUGAUCCAGCCAUGCCGCGUGCAGGAUGAUCGGUCCUAGUGGAUUGUAAACUGCUUUUAUAGCGAGAAGAAACAUCUGCUAACGUGUAGCAGCUGACGGUAUCGUAGA
This 479-nucleotide ribosomal RNA is filed under the name Flavobacterium sp. 01WB04.4-65. Its description in RNAcentral is "bacterial SSU rRNA". It matches the Rfam family "Bacterial small subunit ribosomal RNA", at positions 1 to 484 of the family's 1533-position model. Lineage: Bacteria; Pseudomonadati; Bacteroidota; Flavobacteriia; Flavobacteriales; Flavobacteriaceae. The record is from RNAcentral.